UACGUAGGGUGCGAGCGUUAAUCGGAAUUACUGGGCGUAAAGCGUGCGCAGGCGGUUUUGUAAGCCAGAUGUGAAAUCCCCGGGCUCAACCUGGGAAUUGCAUUUGAGACUGCAUAGCUAGGGUGCGGAAGAGGGAAGCGGAAUUUCCGGUGUAGCGGUGAAAUGCGUAGAUAUCGGAAGGAACAUCAGUGGCGAAAGCGGCUUCCUGGUCCAGCACCGACGUUCAGGCACGAAAGCGUGGGGAGCAAACAGG
RNAcentral lists this ribosomal RNA (253 nucleotides) under uncultured bacterium. RNAcentral's name for it is "partial 16S ribosomal RNA". It matches the Rfam family "Bacterial small subunit ribosomal RNA", at positions 524 to 776 of the family's 1533-position model. The record is from RNAcentral.